Molecule: ribosomal RNA, 337 nt
Filed under: uncultured fungus
Lineage: Eukaryota; Fungi
Description: SSU rRNA
Rfam family: Eukaryotic small subunit ribosomal RNA
Source: RNAcentral
UUGUCUCAAAGAUUAAGCCAUGCAUGUCUAAGUAUAAGCACUUUAUACUGUGAAACUGCGAAUGGCUCAUUAAAUCAGUUAUCGUUUAUUUGAUAGUACCUUACUACAUGGAUACCUGUGGUAAUUCUAGAGCUAAUACAUGCUGAAAACCUCGACUUCGGAAGGGGUGUAUUUAUUAGAUAAAAAACCAAUGCCCUUCGGGGCUCCUUGGUGAAUCAUAAUAACUUAACGAAUCGCAUGGCCUUGCGCCGGCGAUGGUUCAUUCAAAUUUCUGCCCUAUCAACUUUCGAUGGUAGGAUAGUGGCCUACCAUGGUGGCAACGGGAACCGGGGGAAUA